UAACGAUUGAGAUUAAAAAAAUAAAAAUAAAAAUAAAAAUUUUGAUCCUACUUGUUCAAAACAAAAUGUAGCGUUGGUUUCAGAUUUUCAUAAGGAAACACUCACGAAUUCAACACACACUCAGUGGUUCUUGUCCGAACCCACUCUAGACGGCGACCCAAUACCGGCGAUAACCCAGUCUCCACACCGUUGCAAGGACCGACGACGUCACAGGCUAUGGACAAGCUGAAAGACAAGCAACAUGAUCCUGAAAUUCACCUACAAAGUGAAGUCAUAGCAGCUCAAUGUGAAGCAGAAAGACAAGCAAACUGUGUUUUCAAAUUGUGAAGUAAUGUGUUAAUGGCUUGUAUGUUAAUGGCUUA
Long non-coding RNA from Camellia sinensis, 362 nucleotides. RefSeq lists it as uncharacterized. Lineage: Eukaryota; Viridiplantae; Streptophyta; Magnoliopsida; Ericales; Theaceae. The record is from RefSeq and is a predicted model, not a curated record.